RNAcentral lists this ribosomal RNA (1487 nucleotides) under Salmonella enterica subsp. enterica. RNAcentral describes it as "partial 23S ribosomal RNA". It matches the Rfam family "Bacterial large subunit ribosomal RNA", at positions 711 to 2179 of the family's 2925-position model. Lineage: Bacteria; Pseudomonadati; Pseudomonadota; Gammaproteobacteria; Enterobacterales; Enterobacteriaceae. The record is from RNAcentral. RNAcentral also lists the same sequence under 1 other name.
AGACCCGAAACCCGGUGAUCUAGCCAUGGGCAGGUUGAAGGUUGGGUAACACUAACUGGAGGACCGAACCGACUAAUGUUGAAAAAUUAGCGGAUGACCUGUGGCUGGGGGUGAAAGGCCAAUCAAACCGGGAGAUAGCUGGUUCUCCCCGAAAGCUAUUUAGGUAGCGCCUCGUGAAUUCAUCUCCGGGGGUAGAGCACUGUUUCGGCUAGGGGGCCAUCCCGGCUUACCAACCCGAUGCAAACUGCGAAUACCGGAGAAUGUUAUCACGGGAGACACACGGCGGGUGCUAACGUCCGUCGUGAAGAGGGAAACAACCCAGACCGCCAGCUAAGGUCCCAAAGUCAUGGUUAAGUGGGAAACGAUGUGGGAAGGCCCAGACAGCCAGGAUGUUGGCUUAGAAGCAGCCAUCAUUUAAAGAAAGCGUAAUAGCUCACUGGUCGAGUCGGCCUGCGCGGAAGAUGUAACGGGGCUAAACCAUGCACCGAAGCUGCGGCAGCGACACUGUGUGUUGUUGGGUAGGGGAGCGUUCUGUAAGCCUGUGAAGGUGUGUCGUGAGGCAUGCUGGAGGUAUCAGAAGUGCGAAUGCUGACAUAAGUAACGAUAAAGCGGGUGAAAAGCCCGCUCGCCGGAAGACCAAGGGUUCCUGUCCAACGUUAAUCGGGGCAGGGUGAGUCGACCCCUAAGGCGAGGCCGAAAGGCGUAGUCGAUGGGAAACGGGUUAAUAUUCCCGUACUUGGUGUUACUGCGAAGGGGGGACGGAGAAGGCUAUGUUGGCCGGGCGACGGUUGUCCCGGUUUAAGCGUGUAGGUGUGUGUUCCAGGUAAAUCCGGUUCACUUUAACACUGAGGCGUGACGACGAGGCACUACGGUGCUGAAGCAACAAAUGCCCUGCUUCCAGGAAAAGCCUCUAAGCAUCAGGUAACAUCAAAUCGUACCCCAAACCGACACAGGUGGUCAGGUAGAGAAUACCAAGGCGCUUGAGAGAACUCGGGUGAAGGAACUAGGCAAAAUGGUGCCGUAACUUCGGGAGAAGGCACGCUGACACGUAGGUGAAGUGAUUUACUCAUGGAGCUGAAGUCAGUCGAAGAUACCAGCUGGCUGCAACUGUUUAUUAAAAACACAGCACUGUGCAAACACGAAAGUGGACGUAUACGGUGUGACGCCUGCCCGGUGCCGGAAGGUUAAUUGAUGGGGUCAGCGCAAGCGAAGCUCCUGAUCGAAGCCCCGGUAAACGGCGGCCGUAACUAUAACGGUCCUAAGGUAGCGAAAUUCCUUGUCGGGUAAGUUCCGACCUGCACGAAUGGCGUAAUGAUGGCCAGGCUGUCUCCACCCGAGACUCAGUGAAAUUGAACUCGCUGUGAAGAUGCAGUGUACCCGCGGCAAGACGGAAAGACCCCGUGAACCUUUACUAUAGCUUGACACUGAACAUUGAGCCUUGAUGUGUAGGAUAGGUGGGAGGCUUUGAAGCGUGGACGCCAGUCUGC